This 481-nucleotide ribosomal RNA is filed under the name uncultured bacterium. Its description in RNAcentral is "partial 16S ribosomal RNA". It matches the Rfam family "Bacterial small subunit ribosomal RNA", at positions 28 to 507 of the family's 1533-position model. The record is from RNAcentral.
GAUGAACGCUGGCGGCGUGCUUAACACAUGCAAGUCGAACGAAGCACUUUAUUUGAUUUCCUUCGGGACUGAUUAUUUUGUGACUGAGUGGCGGACGGGUGAGUAACGCGUGGGUAACCUGCCUUGUACAGGGGGAUAACAGUCGGAAACGGCUGCUAAUACCGCAUAAGCGCACAGCAUCGCAUGAUGCAGUGUGAAAAACUCCGGUGGUAUAAGAUGGACCCGCGUUGGAUUCGCUAGUUGGUGAGGUAACGGCCCGCCAAGGCGACGAUCCAUAGCCGACCUGGGAGGGGGACCGGCCACGUUUGGGCUGAGACCCAGCCCAAACUCCUACGGGAGGCAGCAGUGGGGAAUAUUGCACAAUGGGCGAAAGCCUGAUGCAGCGACGCCGCGUGAGCGAAGAAGUAUUUCGGUAUGUAAAGCUCUAUCAGCAGUGAAGAUAAUGACGGUACCUGACUAAGAAGCACCGGCUAACUACGUG